This 209-nucleotide long non-coding RNA is filed under the name Nicotiana benthamiana. Its description in RNAcentral is "long non-coding RNA (NBEN_LNC037497)". Lineage: Eukaryota; Viridiplantae; Streptophyta; Magnoliopsida; Solanales; Solanaceae. The record is from RNAcentral.
AGAAAGUACCUAAUUUAUCCUUGGUGUUGCCAAAAAGCCACGACUGUUGUUUUCUCUGAGCAGAACCCCAUUUGCUUUUUUCUGUCCAAUUUAUUUUCUAGCUCUUCUUAUCCUUUGUUGUUUCCUUUGUGUUAAUUGCAUGAUAUAUUCUCCACUUUAAGGAAGAGAACAUGUGCUCUUGUUCUUUGUGCAUUUCCCUUUUGAGGUUA